RNAcentral lists this ribosomal RNA (716 nucleotides) under uncultured Actinomycetes bacterium. RNAcentral's name for it is "uncultured actinobacterium partial 16S rRNA". It matches the Rfam family "Bacterial small subunit ribosomal RNA", at positions 1 to 747 of the family's 1533-position model. The record is from RNAcentral. Lineage: Bacteria; Bacillati; Actinomycetota; Actinomycetes.
CUGUCGACNGGAUCCUGUAGUUGUAUCCUGGCUCAGAAGGAACGCUGGCAGCGUGCAUAACACAUGCAAGUCGAACGUGAGUACUCUUCGGGGUAUGAAAGUGGCGAACGGGUGAGUAACACGUAAGAAUCUACCUUUAGGACGGGGAUAACUUCUGGAAACGGAUGCUAAUACCCGAUAUGCUGUGGAGUGAAAGAAUUUCGCCUAAAGAUGAUCUUGCGUCUGAUUAGCUAGAUAGGGUGGUAACGGCACACUAUGGCGACGAUCAGUAGCUGGUCUGAGAGGAUGGACAGCCACAUUGGAACUGAGACACGGUCCAAACUCCUACGGGAGGCAGCAGUGGGGAAUUUUCCGCAAUGGGCGAAAGCCUGACGCAGCAACGCCGCGUGCGGGAUGAAGGCCUUCGGGUUGUAAACCGCUUUUACCAGGAAGGAAAAUGACAGUACCUGGAGAAUAAGGUGCGGCCAACUACGUGCCAGCAGCCGCGGUGACACGUAGGCACCAAGCGUUGUCCGGAUUUAUUGGGCGUAAAGAGCUCGUAGGCGGUUCAGUAAGUCGGGUGUGAAAACUCUGGGCUUAACCCAGAGACGCCACCCGAUACUGCUGUGACUUGAGUCCGGUAGGGGAGUGGGGAAUUCCUGGUGUANCNGUNAANUGCNCNNAUNUNNNGANNANCNCCNNUNNNNAANGCNCCNCUCUNGNNCNANNCNGANNCU